RNAcentral lists this ribosomal RNA (68 nucleotides) under Staphylococcus aureus. RNAcentral describes it as "partial 16S ribosomal RNA". It matches the Rfam family "Bacterial small subunit ribosomal RNA", at positions 1466 to 1533 of the family's 1533-position model. Lineage: Bacteria; Bacillati; Bacillota; Bacilli; Caryophanales; Staphylococcaceae. The record is from RNAcentral. RNAcentral also lists the same sequence under 3 other names.
GACAAAUGAUUGGGGUGAAGUCGUAACAAGGUAGCCGUAUCGGAAGGUGCGGCUGGAUCACCUCCUUU